AUGCCUUUCUAUUUUAUCUCUCUCCUUUCCAUUCCCCUUUCUCUCUCUCUUGAUCUUUCGCCUUGCCAUCCCCAACUCUCUCUCUCUUGAUCGGAAAAAAUUCCAAAAUACCAGGCAAAAAUGGAAGUAUUUGGCUAUGGAGAUUGCCGAUCACACCAGACUUGAAGAAUUAGGAUCAAGAAUUGGGAGAUUCACAACUUACUCUGCGUAUUUUGAAUGGGGAACUGUAUGGGGCAGCGAGAGUAGAGCCUCUGGUUUGAAGUGUGGUGAUGAAGAUAGUUGGUUUCAAAGCCAUAAAGUAGAAGGCCUGAGAGCUUCUCGCUCAUGUAUUCUCUCUCUCUCUCUCUACUAAACUUUAAAACAAUUGAUGUAUUUUAUCUUGUGCUUACAUGAAUAAAGUUUUUCUUAUUUAAUGGGAA
Amborella trichopoda is the source of this 419-nucleotide long non-coding RNA. RefSeq lists it as uncharacterized. Lineage: Eukaryota; Viridiplantae; Streptophyta; Magnoliopsida; Amborellales; Amborellaceae. The record is from RefSeq and is a predicted model, not a curated record.